RNAcentral lists this ribosomal RNA (466 nucleotides) under uncultured Actinomycetes bacterium. Its description in RNAcentral is "bacterial SSU rRNA". It matches the Rfam family "Bacterial small subunit ribosomal RNA", at positions 777 to 1246 of the family's 1533-position model. The record is from RNAcentral. Lineage: Bacteria; Bacillati; Actinomycetota; Actinomycetes.
AUUAGAUACCCUGGUAGUCCACGCCGUAAACGGUGGGCACUAGUUGUGGGAACCUUCCACGGUUUCUGCGACGCAGCUAACGCAUUAAGUGCCCCGCCUGGGGAGUACGAUCGCAAGAUUAAAACUCAAAGGAAUUGACGGGGCCCCGCACAAGCAGCGGAGCAUGCGGCUUAAUUCGACGCAACGCGAAGAACCUUACCAAGGCUUGACAUAUACAGGAAUAUGGCAGAAAUGUCAUAGCCGCAAGGUCUGUAUACAGGUGGUGCAUGGUUGUCGUCAGCUCGUGUCGUGAGAUGUUGGGUUAAGUCCCGCAACGAGCGCAACCCUCGUUCUGUGUUGCCAGCAUUUAGUUGGGGACUCACAGGAGACUGCCGGGGUUAACUCGGAGGAAGGUGGGGAUGACGUCAAAUCAUCAUGCCCCUUAUGUCUUGGGCUGCACGCAUGCUACAAUGGCUGGUACAAACGG